GACGAACGCUGGCGGCGUGCCUAAUACAUGCAAGUUGAGCGAUGAAGCUUGGUGCUUGCACCAAUUUGAAGAGCAGCGAACGGGUGAGUAACGCGUGGGGAAUCUGCCUUUGAGCGGGGGACAACAUUUGGAAACGAAUGCUAAUACCGCAUAACAACUUUAAACAUAAGUUUUAAGUUUGAAAGAUGCAAUUGCAUCACUCAAAGAUGAUCCCGCGUUGUAUUGGCUAGUUGGUGAGGUAAAGGCUCACCAAGGCGAUGAUACAUAGCCGACCUGAGAGGGUGAUCGGCCACAUUGGGACUGAGACACGGCCCAAACUCCUACGGGAGGCAGCAGUAGGGAAUCUUCGGCAAUGGACGAAAGUCUGACCGAGCAACGCCGCGUGAGUGAAGAAGGUUUUCGGAUCGUAAAACUCUGUUGGUAGAGAAGAACGUUGGUGAGAGUGGAAAGCUCAUCAAGUGACGGUAACUACCCAGAAAGGGACGGCUAACUACGUG
RNAcentral lists this ribosomal RNA (497 nucleotides) under uncultured bacterium. RNAcentral describes it as "partial 16S ribosomal RNA". It matches the Rfam family "Bacterial small subunit ribosomal RNA", at positions 28 to 507 of the family's 1533-position model. The record is from RNAcentral.